GGGUUGAUAGCUCAGUGGUAGAGCAUUCGGCUUUUAACCGACUGGUCGAGGGUUCGAAUCCCUCUCAACCCA
RNAcentral lists this transfer RNA (72 nucleotides) under Myrmecia israelensis. RNAcentral's name for it is "Myrmecia israeliensis tRNA-Lys". It matches the Rfam family "tRNA". Rfam says of the family: Transfer RNA (tRNA) molecules are approximately 80 nucleotides in length. Their secondary structure includes four short double-helical elements and three loops (D, anti-codon, and T loops). Lineage: Eukaryota; Viridiplantae; Chlorophyta; Trebouxiophyceae; Trebouxiales; Trebouxiaceae. The record is from RNAcentral.